Molecule: small nucleolar RNA, 133 nt
Organism: Paramormyrops kingsleyae
Lineage: Eukaryota; Metazoa; Chordata; Actinopteri; Osteoglossiformes; Mormyridae
Product: small nucleolar RNA SNORA17
Source: Ensembl
ACUGCCCCCUAGAGGCUGUGCAGUGUGACUAGGUGUCAUGUCUGUGUCAGUAGGUGGCGCAGAGCGAGGGGCUGCCACUACAGACAGCGCUCAGGAUUUUAUGGGUGCUCAGAAUGACUUGCAGCCAUACAGC